GAUAACUAGCUGUCCGGGCACUUGGUGCUUGGGUGGCGCAGCUAACGCAUUAAGUUAUCCCCCUGGGGAGUACGGUCGCAAGAUUAAAACUCAAAGGAAUUGACGGGGGCCUGCACAAGCCGGUGGAGCAUGUGGUUUAAUUCGAAGCAACGCGCAGAACCUUACCAGCGUUUGACAUCCCGCGCUAUCCAGAGAGAUCUGGGGUUCCCUUCGGGGACGCGGUGACAGGUGCUGCAUGGCUGUCGUCAGCUCGUGUCGUGAGAUGUUGGGUUAAGUCCCGCAACGAGCGCAACCCUCGUCCUUAGUUGCCAUCAUUAAGUUGGGCACUCUAAGGAAACCGCCCGGUGAUAAGCCGGAGGAAGGUGGGGAUGACGUCAAGUCCUCAUGGCCCUUACACGCUGGGCUACACACGUGCUACAAUGGCGGUGACAGUGAGCAGCUAGCCCGCCGAGGGUAUGCUAAUCUCCAAAAGCCGUCUCAGUUCGGAUUGUUCUCUGCAACUCGAGAGCAUGAAGGCGGAAUCGCUAGUAAUCGCGGAUCAGCAUGCCGCGGUGAAUACGUUCCCAGGCCUUGUACACACCGCCCGUCACACCAUGGGAGUUGGAUUCACUCGAAGGCGUUGAGCUAACCCGCCAAGGGAGGCAGGCGACCACAGUGGGUUUAGCGACUGGGGUGAAGUCGUAACAAGGUACC
RNAcentral lists this ribosomal RNA (693 nucleotides) under uncultured bacterium. RNAcentral's name for it is "bacterial SSU rRNA". It matches the Rfam family "Bacterial small subunit ribosomal RNA", at positions 811 to 1500 of the family's 1533-position model. The record is from RNAcentral.